GACGUAGGGCGCGAGCGUUGUCCGGAUGUAUUGGGCGUAAAGAGCUCGUAGGCGGUUUGUCGCGUCUGCCGUGAAAGUCCGGGGCUCAACUCCGGAUCUGCGGUGGGUACGGGCAGACUAGAGUGAUGUAGGGGAGACUGGAAUUCCUGGUGUAGCGGUGAAAUGCGCAGAUAUCAGGAGGAACACCGAUGGCGAAGGCAGGUCUCUGGGCAUUAACUGACGCUGAGGAGCGAAAGCAUGGGGAGCGAACAGG
This 253-nucleotide ribosomal RNA is filed under the name uncultured bacterium. Its description in RNAcentral is "partial 16S ribosomal RNA". It matches the Rfam family "Bacterial small subunit ribosomal RNA", at positions 524 to 776 of the family's 1533-position model. The record is from RNAcentral.